RNAcentral lists this long non-coding RNA (755 nucleotides) under Homo sapiens (human). RNAcentral's name for it is "HSALNT0032453". Lineage: Eukaryota; Metazoa; Chordata; Mammalia; Primates; Hominidae. The record is from RNAcentral.
AGAGAGGGAUGAAGAGAGAUUGAUUGAUGGAGACAUGAGGCCUUGCUGUGUUGCCCAGGUUGGAGCGCAGCGGCUAUUCUAAGGCAUGGUUACAGUGCACUGCAGCCGGAAAACUCCUGGUCUCAAGCCCUCCUUCCGCCUCAGCCUCCCAAGUAGCUAGGACUAGAGGUGCAUGCCACCACACCUAGCUUGAUUUUUUUUUUUUAAUCUGGAAAAAUUUCUGGAAGAUUGAUUCAUUUCUGAAUAUUGAACCAACGUGGCAAUCCUGGAAUAAAUCCCCCCUUUAUAUACUGUUGAAUUCACUUUGCUAAAAUUUUGUUUAAAUUUUUUCGUCAUUAUGAGUAUUGGCCCGUAGUUUUGUUAUAAUGUCUUUUAUCUGACUUUAAUAUUAAAGUAAUGCUGGUCUCAUAAAGUGGGUUGGAAAAUGUAUCCUUCUCUUCAAUUUUCUUGAAUAAUUUGUGUGGAAUUGCUAUUAUUUCUUCUUUCAAUGUUUGGUAGAAUUCGCUAGAUCUGUCUUAUUGGGAAGAUUUUUAACUACGCAUUCAAUUUCUUUAACACAUAUAGAACUAUUCGGGUAACCUACUUCUCGAGAGAACUCUGCUAGUUUGGGUCUUUCAAGGAAUUUGUGCAUUUUGUCUGGGUUGUCAAACUUAUUGGCAUAACGUUGUUCACAAUUGUGUAGGGGAAACUAUUCGUGCUUUCUUCUGCUCUCACACCAUGACAGUCAUCAACACAGAAGCCUUCGGUGACCAAAU